CCCUUAGAUGCUCUGGGCCGCACGCGCGCUACACUGGUCGAUGCAACGAGUUUCUUUCCUUGGCCGACAGGCCUGGGCAAUCUUUGAACAUCGAUCGUGAUCGGGAUAGAUUCUUGUAAUUUUUGAUCUUAAACGAGGAAUUCCUAGUAAACGCAAGUCAUCAGCUUGCAUUGACUACGUCCCUGCCCUUUGUACACACCGCCCGUCGCACCUACCGAUUGAAUGGUCCGGUGAAAUCUCCGGACUGGCGUGAGUCGGAGCAAUCUGACAAACGCCGGAAAGUUGAUUAAACCUUACCAUUUAGAGGAAGGUGAAGUCGUAACA
Molecule: ribosomal RNA, 324 nt
Filed under: uncultured eukaryote
Lineage: Eukaryota
Description: partial 18S ribosomal RNA
Rfam family: Eukaryotic small subunit ribosomal RNA
Source: RNAcentral